This 1525-nucleotide ribosomal RNA is filed under the name uncultured bacterium. RNAcentral describes it as "bacterial SSU rRNA". It matches the Rfam family "Bacterial small subunit ribosomal RNA". The record is from RNAcentral.
AGAGUUUGAUCCUGGCUAAGGACGAACGCUGGCGGCGUGCCUAAUACAUGCAAGUCGAGCGAGCAGAACCAGCAGAUUUACUUCGGUAAUGACGCUGGGGACGCGAGCGGCGGAUGGGUGAGUAACACGUGGGGAACCUGCCCCAUAGUCUGGGAUACCACUUGGAAACAGGUGCUAAUACCGGAUAAUAAAGCAGAUCGCAUGAUCAGCUUAUAAAAGGCGGCGUAAGCUGUCGCUAUGGGAUGGCCCCGCGGUGCAUUAGCUAGUUGGUAAGGUAACGGCUUACCAAGGCAAUGAUGCAUAGCCGAGUUGAGAGACUGAACGGCCACAUUGGGACUGAGACACGGCCCAAACUCCUACGGGAGGCAGCAGUAGGGAAUCUUCCACAAUGGACGCAAGUCUGAUGGAGCAACGCCGCGUGAGUGAAGAAGGUUUUCGGAUCGUAAAGCUCUGUUGUUGGUGAAGAAGGAUAGAGGUAGUAACUGGCCUUUAUUUGACGGUAAUCAACCAGAAAGUCACGGCUAACUACGUGCCAGCAGCCGCGGUAAUACGUAGGUGGCAAGCGUUGUCCGGAUUUAUUGGGCGUAAAGCGAGCGCAGGCGGAAGAAUAAGUCUGAUGUGAAAGCCCUCGGCUUAACCGAGGAAUUGCAUCGGAAACUGUUUUUCUUGAGUGCAGAAGAGGAGAGUGGAACUCCAUGUGUAGCGGUGGAAUGCGUAGAUAUAUGGAAGAACACCAGUGGCGAAGGCGGCUCUCUGGUCUGCAACUGACGCUGAGGCUCGAAAGCAUGGGUAGCGAACAGGAUUAGAUACCCUGGUAGUCCAUGCCGUAAACGAUGAGUGCUAAGUGUUGGGAGGUUUCCGCCUCUCAGUGCUGCAGCUAACGCAUUAAGCACUCCGCCUGGGGAGUACGACCGCAAGGUUGAAACUCAAAGGAAUUGACGGGGGCCCGCACAAGCGGUGGAGCAUGUGGUUUAAUUCGAAGCAACGCGAAGAACCUUACCAGGUCUUGACAUCUAGUGCCAUCCUAAGAGAUUAGGAGUUCCCUUCGGGGACGCUAAGACAGGUGGUGCAUGGCUGUCGUCAGCUCGUGUCGUGAGAUGUUGGGUUAAGUCCCGCAACGAGCGCAACCCUUAUUAUUAGUUGCCAGCAUUAAGUUGGGCACUCUAAUGAGACUGCCGGUGACAAACCGGAGGAAGGUGGGGAUGACGUCAAGUCAUCAUGCCCCUUAUGACCUGGGCUACACACGUGCUACAAUGGGCAGUACAACGAGAAGCGAGCCUGCGAAGGCAAGCGAAUCUCUGAAAGCUGUUCUCAGUUCGGACUGCAGUCUGCAACUCGACUGCACGAAGCUGGAAUCGCUAGUAAUCGCGGAUCAGAACGCCGCGGUGAAUACGUUCCCGGGCCUUGUACACACCGCCCGUCACACCAUGGAAGUCUGCAAUGCCCAAAGCCGGUGGCCUAACCUUCGGGAAGGAGCCGUCUAAGGCAGGGCAGAUGACUGGGGUGAAGUCGUAACAAGGUAGCC